CUUGUUGGUGGGGUAACGGCUCACCAAGGCGACGAUCCCUAGCUGGUCUGAGAGGAUGACCAGCCACACUGGAACUGAGACACGGUCCAGACUCCUACGGGAGGCAGCAGUGGGGAAUAUUGCACAAUGGGCGCAAGCCUGAUGCAGCCAUGCCGCGUGUAUGAAGAAGGCCUUCGGGUUGUAAAGUACUUUCAGCGGGGAGGAAGGGAGUAAAGUUAAUACCUUUGCUCAUUGACGUUAUCCGCAGAAGAAGCACCGGCUAACUCCGUGCCAGCAGCCGCGGUAAUACGGAGGGUGCAAGCGUUAAUCGGAAUUACUGGGCGUAAAGCGCACGCAGGCGGUUUGUUAAGUCAGA
RNAcentral lists this ribosomal RNA (355 nucleotides) under Shigella boydii. Its description in RNAcentral is "bacterial SSU rRNA". It matches the Rfam family "Bacterial small subunit ribosomal RNA", at positions 245 to 592 of the family's 1533-position model. Lineage: Bacteria; Pseudomonadati; Pseudomonadota; Gammaproteobacteria; Enterobacterales; Enterobacteriaceae. The record is from RNAcentral.